AGCAGUAGCCGCGGGAAUACGGAGGGAGCUAGCGUUGUUCGGAAUUACUGGGCGUAAAGCGCGCGUAGGCGGUUACUCAAGUCAGAGGUGAAAGCCCGGGGCUCAACCCCGGAACUGCCUUUGAAACUAGGUGACUAGAAUCUUGGAGAGGUCAGUGGAAUUCCGAGUGUAGAGGUGAAAUUCGUAGAUAUUCGGAAGAACACCAGUGGCGAAGGCGACUGACUGGACAAGUAUUGACGCUGAGGUGCGAAAGCGUGGGGAGCAAACAGGAUUAGAUACCCCGGUAGUCCCUGUCUCUUAUAC
This 303-nucleotide ribosomal RNA is filed under the name uncultured bacterium. Its description in RNAcentral is "partial 16S ribosomal RNA". It matches the Rfam family "Bacterial small subunit ribosomal RNA", at positions 507 to 807 of the family's 1533-position model. The record is from RNAcentral.